Molecule: ribosomal RNA, 492 nt
Filed under: uncultured bacterium
Lineage: Bacteria
Description: partial 16S ribosomal RNA
Rfam family: Bacterial small subunit ribosomal RNA
Source: RNAcentral
GGUGAACGCUGGCGGUAGGCCUAACACAUGCAAGUCGAACGGCAGCACAGUAAGAGCUUGCUCUUACGGGUGGCGAGUGGCGGACGGGUGAGGAAUACAUCUGAAUCUACUUUUUCGUGGGGGAUAACGUAGGGAAACUUACGCUAAUACCGCAUACGACCUACGGGUGAAAGCAGGGGAUCUUCGGACCUUGCGCGAUUGAAUGAGCCGAUGUCGGAUUAGCUAGUUGGCGGGGUAAAGGCCCACCAAGGCGACGAUCCGUAGCUGGUCUGAGAGGAUGAUCAGCCACACUGGAACUGAGACACGGUCCAGACUCCUACGGGAGGCAGCAGUGGGGAAUAUUGGACAAUGGGCGCAAGCCUGAUCCAGCCAUACCGCGUGGGUGAAGAAGGCCUUCGGGUUGUAAAGCCCUUUUGUUGGGAAAGAAAAGCAGCAGGUUAAUACCCCGCUGUUCUGACGGUACCCAAAGAAUAAGCACCGGCUAACUUCGUG